CCUACGGGUGGCAGCAGUGAGGAAUAUUGGUCAAUGGACGGAAGUCUGAACCAGCCAUGCCGCGUGCAGGAAGACGGCUCUAUGAGUUGUAAACUGCUUUUGUACAAAGGUAAACCUGAAACCGUGUAUUCAGCUGAAAUUCCUGUACGAAUAAGGAUCGGCUAACUCCGUGCCAGCAGCCGCGGUAAUACGGAGGAUCCAAGCGUUAUCCGGUUUUAUUGGGUUUAAAGGGUGCGUAGGCGGAUGGAUACGUUAGAGGUGAAAUGUCCGAGAUUACCUCGGGAACUGCCUCUAAUACUGUUGAUCUAGAGAGUAGAUGCGGUAGGCGGAAUGUAUGGUGUAGCGGUGAAAUGCAUAGAGAUCACACAGAACACCGAUUGCGAAGGCAGCUGACCAAUCUAUAUCUGACGUUGAGGCACGAAAGCGUGGGGAGCAAACAGGAUUAGAUACCCGAGUAGUC
Molecule: ribosomal RNA, 460 nt
Filed under: uncultured bacterium
Lineage: Bacteria
Description: partial 16S ribosomal RNA
Rfam family: Bacterial small subunit ribosomal RNA
Source: RNAcentral